Molecule: ribosomal RNA, 576 nt
Filed under: Gemmatimonadota bacterium
Lineage: Bacteria; Pseudomonadati; Gemmatimonadota
Description: partial 23S ribosomal RNA
Rfam family: Bacterial large subunit ribosomal RNA
Source: RNAcentral
AGUCAAGCGAGCGAAGGCAUGUGGGGGAUGCCUGGGUACACGGAGGCGAGGAAGGCCGCGGUAAGCUGCGAAAAGCUCGGGGGAGGCGCACACAGCCAGUGAGCCCGAGGUGGCCGAAUGGGGCAACCCGGCCUGGCGCGAGUCAGGUCACUCUGUCGCGAGACGGAGAGCGAACCCAGGGAACUGAAACAUCUCAGUACCUGGAGGAAGAGAAAUCAACCGAGAGGCUCCUAGUAGCGGCGAGCGAACGGGGUCGAGCCCAAACCGUCUCCCUUGUGGGGGCGGGGUUGUAGGAUCCACGGAUGGUCACAGCGACGUCAAUCGAAGUGCCCUGGAACGGGCCGCCGAAGCGGGUGAGAGCCCCGUAGAUGAAGACUAGGGGCUGUGGCUAGUGGCGAUCCUGAGUAGCGCCCGACACGAGAAAUCGGGCGUGAAGCUGGGGGGACCACCCUCCAAGGCUAGGUAAUACUCCCGUGUAACCGAUAGUGGACGAGUACCGUGAGGGACAGGUGAAAAGCACCCCUGUGCGGGGAGUGAAAGAGAGCCUGAAACCACAUGCCUACAAGCGGUAGGAGG